Molecule: microRNA precursor, 82 nt
Filed under: Loxodonta africana (African savanna elephant)
Lineage: Eukaryota; Metazoa; Chordata; Mammalia; Proboscidea; Elephantidae
Description: microRNA 654 (ENSLAFG00000024362.1)
Rfam family: mir-654 microRNA precursor family
Source: RNAcentral
GGGUAAGUGAAAAGAUGGUGGACCCCAGAACAUGUGCUUGAUUCAUGCCAUAUGUCUGUGGACCACCUGUCUUGAGGAGACC